RNAcentral lists this microRNA precursor (80 nucleotides) under Petromyzon marinus (sea lamprey). Its description in RNAcentral is "mir-221 microRNA precursor family". It matches the Rfam family "mir-221 microRNA precursor family", at positions 11 to 84 of the family's 84-position model. Lineage: Eukaryota; Metazoa; Chordata; Hyperoartia; Petromyzontiformes; Petromyzontidae. The record is from Rfam by way of RNAcentral.
CGCGAGACUCAGAGCCCAGUGUAGAUCCUGCCUCGUGCACACAGCAGCUACAUUUGACUACUGGGUCUCUGGUGCCAACC